RNAcentral lists this long non-coding RNA (1201 nucleotides) under Prunus dulcis (almond). The record is from RNAcentral. Lineage: Eukaryota; Viridiplantae; Streptophyta; Magnoliopsida; Rosales; Rosaceae.
AUGUUUGGUUUGUGUAGUAUUAAGAAUAAAAUAAUGUUCUGUUUUCCCCCCUUCUUUUUUUCCACUUCAAAUUGUCACCCUUCUUGGGUAAGUAAAAAAUUUAUUUGGCGCAUGAUGCAGAUUGGAAAUGCAGUGAUUAACGAUGAAACUGAUUUAAGAGGAAUGUACGACUACUUAGCAAGCCACGCCCUCAUUUCAGAUCAAACUGCAAAUAAAAUCAACAAAUAUUGUGAUUUUUCACCCAAUGCAACAAAGCAGCCUAAGGAGUGCACUGAUACCGCUGAUGCUGCAGCUAAGGAUACCUAUUACAUUGACAUUUUCAACAUCUAUACCUCCUCAUGCGUUUCCUCCAACCUCACUGCAAAACCCAAAAAGGCUUCAGUAAGUUAAAAACAACGCCCUUAAUUAUACUGCAUGUAGGUAUUUACCAUCUGCUGUUUUCAAAACAUUUUGUUGUGUUGAACUGCCGAGCUGCAGAUAUUCGAAUUCGACCCGUGCAGCGAGUACUAUGCUUAUGCUUAUUUGAACCGGCCAUACGUUCAACAAGCUCUCCAUGCCAAUGUCACUAAACUCACACAUGACUGGGAACCAUGCAGUGAUGUUAUCACAAACUGGGCCGAUAGUGCAUCGACCGUACCGCCCCUUUUAAAAGAGUUCCUGGCUAAUGAUGUUCGAGUGUGGAUUUUUAGGUGAAAUUUUGAUACUCUUCUUCUUCUUCAUCAUCUUAAACUUGUAAUUUGCUUCUCUGGAGUUUCAGUAUUUGAACUCUAAAGCUAAUCCAGCUCAUUCUUAUGGAAGUGCAGUGGAGACAUAGAUACAAGGGUACCAGUCACUUCAACAAAAUAUUCUAUUGAAAAGCUGAAUUUUCCAGUAAAGACUGAAUCGCAUGCUUGGUUUCUUGGUGGAGAGGUAGCUUCUCAUUUCCCCGUCGUUUUUGUCUUCGGAUUUUCAAAACCACGUCUUUGAAAGUCUUUGGCGUUAAUUAUUUUGGAUGUUUUAUUCAUAUAUAUAUAUAUAUAUAUAUAUAUAUAUAUAUUAACAGGUUGGUGGUUACACACAAGUGUAUGAAGGAGAGCUAACAUUUGCUACAGUGAGAGGGGCAGGGCAUCAAGUGCCAAGCUAUCAGCCUGCAAGAGGACUUUCCCUCAUCAAGCACUUCCUUGAUGGCACACCACUCCCUAAUACUACAAGACAUACCUAA